Molecule: transfer RNA, 66 nt
Filed under: Wiedomys cerradensis (cerrado red-nosed mouse)
Lineage: Eukaryota; Metazoa; Chordata; Mammalia; Rodentia; Cricetidae
Description: tRNA-Phe
Rfam family: tRNA
About the family: Transfer RNA (tRNA) molecules are approximately 80 nucleotides in length.
Source: RNAcentral
UGUUAAUGUAGCUUAUAAUAAAGCAAAGCACUGAAAAUGCUUAGAUGGAUUACUAUCCCAUAAACA